RNAcentral lists this ribosomal RNA (405 nucleotides) under uncultured Brevundimonas sp. RNAcentral describes it as "bacterial SSU rRNA". It matches the Rfam family "Bacterial small subunit ribosomal RNA", at positions 355 to 777 of the family's 1533-position model. The record is from RNAcentral. Lineage: Bacteria; Pseudomonadati; Pseudomonadota; Alphaproteobacteria; Caulobacterales; Caulobacteraceae.
UGGGGAACCUUGCGCAAUGGGCGAAAGCCUGACGCAGCCAUGCCGCGUGGAUGAUGAAGGUCUUAGGAUUGUAAAAUCCUUUCACCGGUGAAGAUAAUGACUGUAGCCGGAGAAGAAGCCCCGGCUAACUUCGUGCCAGCAGCCGCGGUAAUACGAAGGGGGCUAGCGUUGCUCGGAUUUACUGGGCGUAAAGGGCGCGUAGGCGGACAUUUAAGUCAGGGGUGAAAUCCCGGGGCUCAACCUCGGAACUGCCUUUGAUACUGGAUGUCUUGAGUAUGAGAGAGGUGUGUGGAACUCCGAGUGUAGAGGUGAAAUUCAUAGAUAUUCGGAAGAACACCAGUGGCGAAGGCGACACACUGGCUCAUUACUGACGCUGAGGCGCGAAAGCGUGGGGAGCAAACAGGA